GAGUUUGAUCGUGGCUCAGAGCGAACGCUGGCGGCAGGCUUAACACAUGCAAGUCGAACGCAUCCUUCGGGGUGAGUGGCAGACGGGUGAGUAACACGUGGGAACGUACCCUUCGAUCUGGGAUAACUUCGGGAAACUGGAGCUAAUACCGGAUACGCCCUUUUGGGGAAAGGUUUACUGUCGAAGGAUCGGCCCGCGUCUGAUUAGCUAGUUGGUGGGGUAACGGCCUACCAAGGCGACGAUCAGUAGCUGGUCUGAGAGGAUGAUCAGCCACACUGGGACUGAGACACGGCCCAGACUCCUACGGGAGGCAGCAGUGGGGAAUAUUGGACAAUGGGCGCAAGCCUGAUCCAGCCAUGCCGCGUGAGUGAUGAAGGCCUUAGGGUUGUAAAGCUCUUUUGUCCGGGACGAUAAUGACGGUACCGGAAGAAUAAGCCCCGGCUAACUUCGUGCCAGCCGCCGCUGU
This 466-nucleotide ribosomal RNA is filed under the name uncultured bacterium. Its description in RNAcentral is "bacterial SSU rRNA". It matches the Rfam family "Bacterial small subunit ribosomal RNA", at positions 9 to 521 of the family's 1533-position model. The record is from RNAcentral.